CGGAGGGAAACCGAGUCUUAAUUGGGCGUUAAGUUGCAGGGUAUAGACCCGAAACCCGGUGAUCUAGCCAUGGGCAGGUUGAAGGUUGGGUAACACUAACUGGAGGACCGAACCGACUAAUGUUGAAAAAUUAGCGGAUGACCUGUGGCUGGGGGUGAAAGGCCAAUCAAACCGGGAGAUAGCUGGUUCUCCCCGAAAGCUAUUUAGGUAGCGCCUCGUGAAUUCAUCUCCGGGGGUAGAGCA
RNAcentral lists this ribosomal RNA (243 nucleotides) under Salmonella enterica subsp. enterica serovar Kentucky. RNAcentral describes it as "partial 23S ribosomal RNA". It matches the Rfam family "Bacterial large subunit ribosomal RNA", at positions 667 to 909 of the family's 2925-position model. The record is from RNAcentral. Lineage: Bacteria; Pseudomonadati; Pseudomonadota; Gammaproteobacteria; Enterobacterales; Enterobacteriaceae.